UAAUAAGUGUUCUACUACACUUUUUAAACAAGUACUCACCUUGUGUGCAAUGUUUGCUGUCGUGUUCGUUUAGGCGGAUCGCGUCAGCAUAUAAUACCAACCUUUUAUUGAAACGUUUUUGUCUGAAGAUAUUUUGAAUAAAUAAUUCUAAAUA
This 154-nucleotide unclassified non-coding RNA is filed under the name uncultured Mortierella. RNAcentral describes it as "sequence contains ITS1". Lineage: Eukaryota; Fungi; Mortierellomycota; Mortierellomycetes; Mortierellales; Mortierellaceae. The record is from RNAcentral.